GACGAACGCUGGCGGCGUGCUUAACACAUGCAAGUCGAACGGAAAGGCCCUGCUUUUGUUGGUUGCUCGAUUGGCGAACGGGUGAGUAACACGUGAGUAUCCUGCCCUUGUCUUUGGGAUAACUUCUGGAAACUGGGGCUAAUACAGGAUAGAAGAUCCUGCUGCACGUGGGGGGUUGGAAAGUUUCGGCCGUUGGGGCUGGUCUCGCAGCUUAUCAGCUUGAUGGUGGGGUAGUGGUUUACCAAGGCUUUGACGGGUAGCCGGCCUGAGAGGGGGACCGGCCACAUGGGGACUGAGGUACGGCCCAGUCGCGUACGGGAGGCAGCAGGGGGGAAUAUUGCACAGUGGGCGGAAGCCUGAUGCAGCAACGCCGCGUGCGGAAUGACGGCCUUCGGGUGGUAAACCGCUUUCGCCGGUGACGAAGCCUGAGUGACGGUAAUGGGUAAAGAAGCACCGGCUAACUACGUG
This 468-nucleotide ribosomal RNA is filed under the name uncultured bacterium. RNAcentral describes it as "partial 16S ribosomal RNA". It matches the Rfam family "Bacterial small subunit ribosomal RNA", at positions 28 to 507 of the family's 1533-position model. The record is from RNAcentral.